CCUACGGGUGGCAGCAGUGGGGAAUAUUGCACAAUGGGGGGAACCCUGAUGCAGCGACGCCGCGUGGGUGAAGGAGUAUUUCGGUAUGUAAAGCCCUAUCAGCAGGGAAGAACAAUGACGGUACCUGACUAAGAAGCACCGGCUAAAUACGUGCCAGCAGCCGCGGUAAUACGUAUGGUGCAAGCGUUAUCCGGAUUUACUGGGUGUAAAGGGGGCGCAGACGGCGAUGCAAGCCAGGAGUGAAAGCCCGGGGCCCAACCCCGGGACUGCUCUUGGAACUGCGUGGCUAGAGUGCAGGAGGGGCAGGCGGAAUUCCUGGUGUAGCGGUGAAAUGCGUAGAUAUCAGGAGGAACACCGGUGGCGAAGGCGGCCUGCUGGACUGCAACUGACGUUGAGGCCCGAAAGCGUGGGGAGCAAACAGGAUUAGAUACCCUGGUAGUC
RNAcentral lists this ribosomal RNA (441 nucleotides) under uncultured bacterium. RNAcentral's name for it is "partial 16S ribosomal RNA". It matches the Rfam family "Bacterial small subunit ribosomal RNA", at positions 338 to 795 of the family's 1533-position model. The record is from RNAcentral.